Molecule: microRNA, 24 nt
Filed under: Corchorus capsularis
Lineage: Eukaryota; Viridiplantae; Streptophyta; Magnoliopsida; Malvales; Malvaceae
Description: sRNA CCACVL1_17521
Source: RNAcentral
ACUCCCUCUGUCCCUGAUUAUAAG